This 253-nucleotide ribosomal RNA is filed under the name uncultured bacterium. Its description in RNAcentral is "partial 16S ribosomal RNA". It matches the Rfam family "Bacterial small subunit ribosomal RNA", at positions 524 to 776 of the family's 1533-position model. The record is from RNAcentral.
UACGUAGGGCGCGAGCGUUGUCCGGAAUUAUUGGGCGUAAAGAGCUCGUAGGCGGCUGGUUGCGUCUGCUGUGAAAUCCCGGGGCUUAACCCCGGGCGUGCAGUGGAUACGGGCCGGCUGGAGGCAGGCAGGGGAGAAUGGAAUUCCCGGUGUAGCGGUGAAAUGCGCAGAUAUCGGGAGGAACACCGGUGGCGAAGGCGGUUCUCUGGGCCUGUACUGACGCUGAGGAGCGAAAGCCAGGGGAGCAAACGGG